This 106-nucleotide ribosomal RNA is filed under the name Staphylococcus aureus. RNAcentral's name for it is "partial 16S ribosomal RNA". It matches the Rfam family "Bacterial small subunit ribosomal RNA", at positions 1412 to 1515 of the family's 1533-position model. Lineage: Bacteria; Bacillati; Bacillota; Bacilli; Caryophanales; Staphylococcaceae. The record is from RNAcentral.
UUGUAACACCCGCAAGCCGGUGGAGUAACCUUUUAGGAGCUAGCCGUCGAAGGUGGGACAAAUGAUUGGGGUGAAGUCGUAACAAGGUAGCCGUAUCGGAAGGUGC